AUGAGGGUGUCAAGCAUGGCGUCCAAGGGUCUCGUUGUGUUUGCUGUCCUGCUUGCUGCGGCUUUCCUCGUGGCCACAGCUGAACAAACUCAGGCCAAGAAGGAAGAAACUAAGGCCGGUGUUCAGGGUUACCACGGCGGCGGCAGCGGAGGCGGUGGCUACCAUGGCGGCGGCGGCGGCGGGGGGUACCCUGGCCACGGAGGCGGCGGCGGCGGCGGGGGGUACCCUGGCCACGGGGGCGGCGGCGGCGGCGGCGGGUACCCUGGCCACGGUGGCGGCGGAGGCGGCGGCGGCUACCCUGGCCACGGUGGCGGCGGCGCCUACCCUGGCCACGGUGGCGGCGGCGGCGGCGGCGGCUGCAGGUACCAGUGCUGUGGGCACGGGCAUGGUGGCUGCCGCUGCUGCGCAAGCCCCAACGAGAUCCCGGAGCCCAUGUAUCGGGCGGAGGUCCGCAACUAA
This 459-nucleotide ribosomal RNA is filed under the name Triticum aestivum (bread wheat). Its description in RNAcentral is "partial small subunit ribosomal RNA". The record is from RNAcentral. Lineage: Eukaryota; Viridiplantae; Streptophyta; Magnoliopsida; Poales; Poaceae.